UACGUAGGUGGCAAGCGUUGUCCGGAAUUAUUGGGCGUAAAGAGCUCGUAGGCGGUUUGUUGCGUCGGCUGUGAAAAACCUGAGGCUCAACCUCAGGCCUGCAGUCGAUACGAGCAGACUAGAGUGUUGCAGGGGGAGACUGGAAUUCCUGGUGUAGCGGUGAAAAUGCGCAGAUAUCAGGAGGAACACCGGUGGACGAAGGCGGGCUCUGGCUCGACCCUGACGCUGAGGCGCGAAAGCGUGGG
RNAcentral lists this ribosomal RNA (245 nucleotides) under uncultured bacterium. RNAcentral's name for it is "partial 16S ribosomal RNA". It matches the Rfam family "Bacterial small subunit ribosomal RNA", at positions 524 to 765 of the family's 1533-position model. The record is from RNAcentral.